GAAAGAAGGGAAAAAAAAUUAAGAGAGGAAAAAUUGGCAUAGCUAGGAAUUUCAUCCCUUGAAAUCUUGUUUCAAAAAGUAUUUCUUCUAGUAUUCCAAGCAAGUUGAAGGCCCUAAUCAACAUAGAGUGAUUGUUGGAACAAGAAGACUAUUCAUUCUUGCAAGGCACAAUUCUAGCCAAGUUGAAAAACUAAGUGGAAAAGAUUUUGGAAAGGCCAAGAGUUAAGUGGGGUGACUAAGGAAGCGGACAAGGUACACCCAGAUGAGAAAAAGCUAUUGUAGAAGAUGUUCCAGCAGGGUUAGCAACUCCACUUGUUCCUGGAGUGCGGCCGAGUCAGAGUAUAUGCGAUAUGAUGUUUCGUUCAAAGUUAGAGACUUUGCAGACAGAGUCGUGCGUAUAGAGUGUCAGCUUUGUAAGCGGCGUCACCAGCCGAUAUGUUAUCAUGUCGUAUGUCACGAGUUUUAUGGGAUGAUAGAUUUCGAAAAAAUAAUAAUUUGGGAAGCUUAGUUAUGUUUUUUUUUAUUUCUUAUUGAUGUAAAAGUCUAAGGAGAUUAAGUAUGUACUAUGAAACAGCGGGUUCGCUCGGCUUCAAGCAUGGGGUCGGU
Solanum dulcamara is the source of this 606-nucleotide long non-coding RNA. RefSeq lists it as uncharacterized. Lineage: Eukaryota; Viridiplantae; Streptophyta; Magnoliopsida; Solanales; Solanaceae. The record is from RefSeq and is a predicted model, not a curated record. The transcript has 3 exons.